UUACGGCCAUAUCAUGUCAAAACUCCGAUUCCCGUACGUUCACCGAAGUUAAGCAACGUCGUGCCCGGUCACCGAGAUGGGUGAUCGCUUUGGAAUACCAGGA
This is a non-coding RNA of Acanthosepion pharaonis, 103 nucleotides long. Lineage: Eukaryota; Metazoa; Mollusca; Cephalopoda; Sepiida; Sepiidae. The record is from the annotation of a GenBank genome assembly.